AUGUGCCUGGCUCCCUGUAUGCCACUCAUCUAGAGCAACAGCUCGAUCAGAUUUCUGAUGUUGCCUACGAUGGAUGGCGUGCACGGUGCCAAGCAUGU
Molecule: microRNA precursor, 98 nt
Filed under: Dichanthelium oligosanthes
Lineage: Eukaryota; Viridiplantae; Streptophyta; Magnoliopsida; Poales; Poaceae
Description: mir-160 microRNA precursor family
Rfam family: mir-160 microRNA precursor family
About the family: The hairpin precursors (represented here) are predicted based on base pairing and cross-species conservation -- their extents are not known. In this case the mature sequence is excised from the 5' arm of the hairpin.
Source: Rfam by way of RNAcentral